RNAcentral lists this unclassified non-coding RNA (380 nucleotides) under uncultured Gemmatimonadaceae bacterium. RNAcentral's name for it is "contains 16S-23S intergenic spacer region". Lineage: Bacteria; Pseudomonadati; Gemmatimonadota; Gemmatimonadia; Gemmatimonadales; Gemmatimonadaceae. The record is from RNAcentral.
UCCGGUUUGACACCGGCAGUCUCCCUAGAGUGCCCGGCAUAACCCGCUGGUAACUAGGGACGAGGGUUGCGCUCGUUGCGGGACUUAACCCAACAUCUCACGACACGAGCUGACGACAGCCAUGCAGCACCUGUGCACGAGUCCCGAAGGAAGACCGGGGUCUCCCCCAGCUGUCCCGUGCAUGUCAAGCCCAGGUAAGGUUCUUCGCGUUGCUUCGAAUUGAACCACAUGCUCCACCGCUUGUGCGGGCCCCCGUCAAUUCCUUUGAGUUUCAGCCUUGCGGCCGUACUCCCCAGGCGGGGCACUUACUGCGUUAGCGACGGCACCGGGAGGGUCGCUCCCCCCGACGCCUAGUGCCCAUCGUUUACGGCGUGGACUAC